UGAGGAACAUGACUUUCGGCGGGGGAUAGCCGGCCCAACGGCCGGGUAAUACCGCGUACGACCACAUGGGGACAUCCCUGAGUGGUGAAAGCAGCAAUGCGCCGAUGGAGUGCCUCGCGGCCUAUCAGCUAGUUGGUGAGGUAACGGCUCACCAAGGCGACGACGGGUAGCUGGUCUGAGAGGAUGGCCAGCCACAUUGGGACUGAGACACGGCCCAGACUNUA
Molecule: ribosomal RNA, 224 nt
Filed under: uncultured bacterium
Lineage: Bacteria
Description: partial 16S ribosomal RNA
Rfam family: Bacterial small subunit ribosomal RNA
Source: RNAcentral